Molecule: ribosomal RNA, 1845 nt
Filed under: Drilonius sp. UPOL RK0136
Lineage: Eukaryota; Metazoa; Arthropoda; Insecta; Coleoptera; Omethidae
Description: SSU rRNA
Rfam family: Eukaryotic small subunit ribosomal RNA
Source: RNAcentral
CUGUCUCAAAGAUUAAGCCAUGCAUGUCUCAGUACAAGCCAUAUUAAGGUGAAACCGCGAAAGGCUCAUUAAAUCAGUUAUGGUUCCUUAGAUUGUACCCACAUUUACUUGGAUAACUGUGGUAAUUCUAGAGCUAAUACAUGCAAAUAGAGUUCCGACCGGAGACGGAAGGAGCGCUUUUAUUAGAACAAAACCAAUCGGCGUCGGGUCUUUGGCUCGUCGUCGUACACUUUGGUGAAUCUGAAUAACUUUCUGCUGAUCGCACGGUCACGAACCGGCGACGUAUCUUUCAAAUGUCUGCCUUAUCAACUGUCGAUGGUAGGUUCUGCGCCUACCAUGGUUGUAACGGGUAACGGGGAAUCAGGGUUCGAUUCCGGAGAGGGAGCCUGAGAAACGGCUACCACAUCCAAGGAAGGCAGCAGGCGCGCAAAUUACCCACUCCCGGCACGGGGAGGUAGUGACGAAAAAUAACGAUACGGGACUCAUCCGAGGCCCCGUAAUCGGAAUGAGUACACUCUAAACUCUUUAACGAGGAUCAAUUGGAGGGCAAGUCUGGUGCCAGCAGCCGCGGUAAUUCCAGCUCCAAUAGCGUAUAUUAAAGUUGUUGCGGUUAAAAAGCUCGUAGUCGAAUCUGUGUCCCACGCCGCCGGUUCAUCGCUCGCGGUGUUUAACUGGCGUGUCCGUGGGACGUCCUGCCGGUGGGCGCAGCUCGCAAGAGCGGCCCAACUUCAAUCCCAUCGCGGUGCUCUUCAUUGAGUGUCGAGAUGGGCCGGCACGUUUACUUUGAACAAAUUAGAGUGCUUAAAGCAGGCUAAAAUUUUGCCUGAAUACUGUGUGCAUGGAAUAAUGGAAUAGGACCUCGGUUCUAUUUUGUUGGUUUUCGGAACCCCGAGGUAAUGAUUAAUAGGAACGGAUGGGGGCAUUCGUAUUGCGACGUUAGAGGUGAAAUUCUUGGAUCGUCGCAAGACGGACAGAAGCGAAAGCAUUUGCCAAAAACGCUUUCAUUGAUCAAGAACGAAAGUUAGAGGUUCGAAGGCGAUCAGAUACCGCCCUAGUUCUAACCAUAAACGAUGCCAGCUAGCGAUCCGCCGAAGUUCCUCCGAUGACUCGGCGGGCAGCUUCCGGGAAACCAAAGCUUUUGGGUUCCGGGGGAAGUAUGGUUGCAAAGCUGAAACUUAAAGGAAUUGACGGAAGGGCACCACCAGGAGUGGAGCCUGCGGCUUAAUUUGACUCAACACGGGAAACCUCACCAGGCCCGGACACCGGAAGGAUUGACAGAUUGAGAGCUCUUUCUUGAUUCGGUGGGUGGUGGUGCAUGGCCGUUCUUAGUUGGUGGAGCGAUUUGUCUGGUUAAUUCCGAUAACGAACGAGACUCUAGCCUGCUAAAUAGGCGUAUUUCCGACAUCUCAAAGGCCCGCCGGCCCGGCGUUUGCGCGUCGUGGUCGUGCGCGGUUUUUACUGUCGGCGUACAAAUAAUUCUUCUUAGAGGGACAGGCGGCUUCUAGCCGCACGAGAUUGAGCAAUAACAGGUCUGUGAUGCCCUUAGAUGUUCUGGGCCGCACGCGCGCUACACUGAAGGAAUCAGCGUGUCCUCCCUGGCCGAGAGGCCCGGGUAACCCGCUGAACCUCCUUCGUGCUAGGGAUUGGGGCUUGCAAUUGUUCCCCAUGAACGAGGAAUUCCCAGUAAGCGCGAGUCAUAAGCUCGCGUUGAUUACGUCCCUGCCCUUUGUACACACCGCCCGUCGCUACUACCGAUUGAAUGAUUUAGUGAGGUCUUCGGACGGGUACGCGGUGGCGUUUCGACGUCGCCGAUGCUGCUUGGAAGAUGACCAAACUUGAUCAUUU